AAAUUGAAGAGUUUGAUCAUGGCUCAGAUUGAACGCUGGCGGCAGGCCUAACACAUGCAAGUCGAACGGUAACGGGAAGCAGCUUGCUGCUUCGCUGACGAGUGGCGGACGGGU
Molecule: ribosomal RNA, 114 nt
Filed under: Leptospira interrogans serovar Pomona
Lineage: Bacteria; Pseudomonadati; Spirochaetota; Leptospiria; Leptospirales; Leptospiraceae
Description: partial 16S ribosomal RNA
Rfam family: Bacterial small subunit ribosomal RNA
Source: RNAcentral